ACAGGUGAUGCACGGCUGUCGUCAGCUCGUGUCGUGAGAUGUUGGGUUAAGUCCCGCAACGAGCGCAACCCUCAUCGUUAGUUGCUAACAGUUCGGCUGAGCACUCUAGCGAGACUGCCUUCGCAAGGAGGAGGAAGGUGAGGACGACGUCAAGUCAUCAUGGCCCUUAUGGCUAGGGCUACACACGUGCUACAAUGGGGCGUACAGAGAGUUGCGAUACCGCGAGGUGGAGCUAAUCUCAUAAAGCGUCUCUCAGUUCGGAUUGAUCUCUGCAACUCGAGAUCAUGAAGCUGGAAUCACUAGUAAUCGUAGGUCAGCAAUGCUACGGUGAAUACGUUCCCGGGUCUUGUACUCACCGCCCGUCACACCAUGGGAGUUGAUUUCA
RNAcentral lists this ribosomal RNA (385 nucleotides) under uncultured Campylobacterota bacterium. RNAcentral's name for it is "bacterial SSU rRNA". It matches the Rfam family "Bacterial small subunit ribosomal RNA", at positions 1034 to 1419 of the family's 1533-position model. The record is from RNAcentral. Lineage: Bacteria; Pseudomonadati; Campylobacterota.